Molecule: long non-coding RNA, 664 nt
Organism: Homo sapiens (human)
Lineage: Eukaryota; Metazoa; Chordata; Mammalia; Primates; Hominidae
Gene: HULC
Product: hepatocellular carcinoma up-regulated long non-coding RNA
Source: Ensembl
AGGUGUCUUUGUGAAGCUUCCUAUCUUUGCUUUUCAACUAAGAUGAAACAGCAUUUAAAAGAAAAUGCCAUGUGAGAUGAGAUCAGGAGAAUGGAUUCUUUCUUUCAUCUGAAUAGAGAGCUGCUGUUCGAGAUUCUAACUCAAAUAGCUCAAAGGACACCUUCUCCGGGAAACCUUCCCUGACUUCCGACGCUGUUUCCUGUUACCCAUGAUGUACAUUAGAACACAGCAACUAUUUGAGUGAAAUAAGUAUUUUUAUUUAUUUCAAGAGGAAAGCAAAGUCGAAGGGUGUUCAGGGCUACAGUUUUGCUUGACCAGAUGUUGCCAAGUUUCAAAGUCAAAUCGGUUCAUCUCCUGGCUAUCAGCUAAAGGGUGUUGUAUUUGUAAGCAUUGAGAACUUCUAUCUACUGCUAUUGUAUUUUGCAUAUUUGUAUUUUCUGAGUUCUAUUUGAGAGAGACGGAAUUACGCAUUUCCAUAUGGAUCAUCCUCUUCCCUAUGUAUGUUGCUUUAUUGCCUUUUGGAAGAAAAAAAGUGAGAGUUGCAGUCUGUAUUUAGGCCAUUUCUAUGUUCUUUAUUGGGUUACGUUUGAAUGCCCAAUUUGAUCUCAAUGGCACGUCCUUUGUAACAUAAAAUAAAACAUGGUGCUCAGGAAAAGUAACGACA